This 253-nucleotide ribosomal RNA is filed under the name uncultured bacterium. RNAcentral describes it as "partial 16S ribosomal RNA". It matches the Rfam family "Bacterial small subunit ribosomal RNA", at positions 524 to 776 of the family's 1533-position model. The record is from RNAcentral.
UACGGAGGGGACUAGCGUUGUUCGGAAUUACUGGGCGUAAAGCGCACGUAGGCGGAUUUGUAAGUCAGGGGUGAAAUCCCGGGGCUCAACCUCGGAACUGCCUUUGAUACUGCAAAUCUCGAGUCCGGUAGAGGUGAGUGGAAUUCCUAGUGUAGAGGUGAAAUUCGUAGAUAUUAGGAAGAACACCAGUUGCGAAAGCGACUAGCUGGGCCAUAACUGACGCUGAUGCUCGAAAGCGUGGGGAUCAAACAGG